RNAcentral lists this non-coding RNA (91 nucleotides) under unclassified sequences. RNAcentral describes it as "c-di-GMP sequence". It matches the Rfam family "c-di-GMP-II-GAG riboswitch aptamer". The record is from Rfam by way of RNAcentral.
UCAUCGAUCGGAAGCUCUGACACGUUCUCCUCAAGCCCACGGUCGCCGGAUGGGAGGCGCCGAGCUACUGGCGGGACCGGCCGAUCGGCGA